This 468-nucleotide ribosomal RNA is filed under the name uncultured bacterium. RNAcentral describes it as "partial 16S ribosomal RNA". It matches the Rfam family "Bacterial small subunit ribosomal RNA", at positions 28 to 507 of the family's 1533-position model. The record is from RNAcentral.
GACGAACGCUGGCGGCGUGCCUAACACAUGCAAGUCGAACGGAAAGGCCCUGCUUUUGUGUGGUGCUCGAGUGGCGAACGGGUGAGUAACACGUGAGUAACCUGCUCUCGACUUUGGGAUAACAUCAGGAAACUGGGGCUAAUACCGGAUAGGAGCCCCGGCAGCAUGGUGGGGGGGGGAAAGUUUCGGCGGUUGGGGAUGGACGCGCGGCUUAUCAGCUUGUUGGUGGGGUAGUGGCUUACCAAGGCUUUGACGGGUAGCCGGCCUGGGAGGGUGACCGGCCACAUUGGGACUACGGUACGGCCCAGAGUGCUACGGGAGACAGCGGUGGGGAAUAUUGCACAAUGGGCGGGAGCCUGAUGCAACGACGCCGCGUGCGGAAUGACGGCCUUCGGGUUGUAAAGCGCUUUCGCCUAUGACGAAGCGUGAGUGACGGUAAUGGGUGAAGAAGCACCGGCUAACUACGUG